RNAcentral lists this ribosomal RNA (253 nucleotides) under uncultured bacterium. RNAcentral describes it as "partial 16S ribosomal RNA". It matches the Rfam family "Bacterial small subunit ribosomal RNA", at positions 524 to 776 of the family's 1533-position model. The record is from RNAcentral.
UACAGAGGUCCCAAGCGUUGUUCGGAUUCACUGGGCGUAAAGGGUGCGCAGGUGGUCGGGUAAGUCCGAUGUGAAAUCCCGCAGCUUAACUGCGGAAUGGCAUUGGAUACUAUUUGGCUAGAGGGUUGGAGGGGGGACUGGAAUUCUCGGUGUAGCAGUGAAAUGCGUAGAGAUGUGGAGGAACACCGAUGGCGAAGGCAGCCCCCUGGGCUAACACUGACGCUCAUGCACGAAAGCGUGGGGAGCAAACAGG